RNAcentral lists this ribosomal RNA (253 nucleotides) under uncultured bacterium. RNAcentral describes it as "partial 16S ribosomal RNA". It matches the Rfam family "Bacterial small subunit ribosomal RNA", at positions 524 to 776 of the family's 1533-position model. The record is from RNAcentral.
UACGUAGGGUGCAAGCGUUAAUCGGAAUUACUGCGCGUAAAGCGUGCGCAGGCGGUUUUGUAAGUCUGUCGUGAAAGCCCCGGGCUCAACCUGGGAAUUGCGAUGGAGACUGCAAGGCUUGAAUCUGGCAGAGGGGGGUAGAAUUCCACGUGUAGCAGUGAAAUGCGUAGAGAUGUGGAGGAACACCGAUGGCGAAGGCAGCCCCCUGGGUCAAGAUUGACGCUCAUGCACGAAAGCGUGGGGAGCAAACAGG